Molecule: ribosomal RNA, 763 nt
Filed under: Lupocyclus quinquedentatus
Lineage: Eukaryota; Metazoa; Arthropoda; Malacostraca; Decapoda; Portunidae
Description: partial 28S ribosomal RNA
Rfam family: Eukaryotic large subunit ribosomal RNA
Source: RNAcentral
GGUACCCCAACGUCGCGCUCGCGCGGCGAAGGGGGAAACCUCCGGUGUCCUGGCUGCCCUGCGACGGUCGUGCAGCAGAGGGUUGGCACUGUCCUUCCUCUCUCGCGGCGUGCAAAAGGUCGGUGACCCACCCGACCCGUCUUGAAACACGGACCAAGGAGUCUAACAUGUGUGCGAGUCAUUGGGCGCACUAAACCCAAAGGCGCAAUGAAAGUGAAAGGAGGUCGUCGCUCUCGGGCGGCGGCCUCCGGGGCCGAUCCCUGACCGUUGAGUCAGCCGCCGUGGUUACACAGCCCAUCCCAAAGCGGGGUCACAUAAGCGGUGCCGAGCGGGGUGAGACCCUUUCCCCCGCUCCGCCGCCGGCCUCGUGGGUGCCCGGUGUGCACUCUGGCGGUCCGAGCUUGCUCGCCUGUACGCAGGGGGGCGCAGGCCCGGGACUUGCCAUUCGACGCCGUGUCGCGAAUCUGUUGUUGGCCUCAUCGGCUUUGCUUGGGCUCUCGGUUGGCGUGCCGCGUGUCUUUGGGCGGGCUUUGGGUGGGGGGCCUUUCGGGGCUCCCUCCCGGGUUCGUCCGGCGCGGUGGCGCCCUCCGAUCCUGCUCUGUCCGGAGUGGCCUAGCGCACGUGCUGUCGGCAAGUACCAUGAGCAGACAUGUUGGGACCCGAAAGAUGGUGAACUAUGCCUGGCCAGGAUGAAGCCAGAGGAAACUCUGGUGGAGGUCCGUAGCAAUUCUGACGUGCAAAUCGAUUGUCAGAGCUGGGUAUA